UGUACUCUGGACGAAAGAUUUACAUUGAAAACUUGUGGUCCAUUCUGAACAAAAAAUUGACUGAAACAAUUUUCUUCUUGUUUGAAGGAAAUAUACAUUCUCGUUGAAAAGAGCGUUGUGGCCUUGUUGAAGGAGUUGGACGAAAAUGAGUGGACCGACGUCGAGGUCAAGUCGAAUGACGAUGGCUUUGUUCUGGCGCAUCGUUGCAUAUUGGCAAUGUACAGCAUCAUGCUGAAGGUUCGCUGUUAUCAGGCGAGUAGAGCGAAGCCUCCGCCGACAAUUCAUUUGCCAUAUUCGCAUGAAUGUCUCUUGCUGUGCAAAAAACUUAUGUACAAAGGCUCCGUCGAAGUUGAUUCAUCGACGAGUAUGAAAUCAGGAAUGUAACUGAAACACCGUCUGAAAGUUAUUCCGACCUCAUUCCUCCCUCUCAGUCAUCGCGGAUUGGUAUGGUUGUUGAAGAAGUCAAUAAUGGCGAUGAAGAAAGCUAUGGUGAGGAUGGAGAUAGUGUGAAAGAUGAUGAGGAUGAAGAUAAUGUGGAAGACGUUGAGGAUGGAGAUCGUGUGGAAAAUGGUGAGGAUGGAGAUAGUGUGGAAGAUGGUCAGCAGGGAACUAGUGUGGGAGAUGGUCAGCAAGGAACUAGUGUGGAAGAUGGUCAGCAAGGAGCUAGUGUAGAACGGAAUGAGGAAGGAGAUGAUGCAGCCACGUCCGCUGUUGAGAUCCUUCGUCAUCUCCUCAAUCCGAGCGAUCAAUGGAUUCGGCGAAGGUCGGUGGCAUUGCGAUAUUGGCUGGCUGUGAUACUGUUCAGAUGGCGAAACGUGACGACGGAACGAUCAAAAGCAGUAUGAACGUCUCAUGCACUACAGUACGGCGCCAUUUGGAUAAGGACCCGGUGACACUUAAUUUCGAGCAUCCGGAGAAACCGAGACGAUAUCCGGCGACUACAGCGGAUGCGAUUGUAGACGCACUGUGCUUCCCGGAUAGAGUCAUAGAUGACGUGGACAACACAUUGACUUUGCGAUUGUGGGUCUCGGUGAUCUUGCGACGACUCUCAACGGCGGAUCGAAAGCUGGAGCCAUUGUCAAAAUUGGUCGGAAUCAGCGUUUCGAAAAUUAGCAAAGGUGCGUCCAAUGGAUUGACACCGGCAUCCCAAAAUUUUUUCGCAGCUACUGAUUAAAGCUCGAAUCGAAAUGUUGGAGCGACGACAAGACCACGGACUCGUUUAUGGUGCACUCAUUCGUAUCCGAUUAAGACGUCCAUUUUUCAUUGUUUCUGUGAAGACUGAAGUUGUGUAAUGUGUCAAAACAAUAAAACAAUC
Bradysia coprophila is the source of this 1315-nucleotide long non-coding RNA. The record is from RefSeq and is a predicted model, not a curated record. NCBI's taxonomy places the organism in Eukaryota, Metazoa, Arthropoda, Insecta, Diptera, Sciaridae.